RNAcentral lists this transfer RNA (85 nucleotides) under Felis catus (domestic cat). It matches the Rfam family "tRNA". Rfam says of the family: Transfer RNA (tRNA) molecules are approximately 80 nucleotides in length. Their secondary structure includes four short double-helical elements and three loops (D, anti-codon, and T loops). Further hydrogen bonds mediate the characteristic L-shaped molecular structure. tRNAs have two regions of fundamental functional importance: the anti-codon, which is responsible for specific mRNA codon recognition, and the 3' end, to which the tRNAs corresponding amino acid is attached (by aminoacyl-tRNA synthetases). tRNAs cope with the degeneracy of the genetic code in two manners: having more than one tRNA (with a specific anti-codon) for a particular amino acid; and 'wobble' base-pairing, i.e. permitting non-standard base-pairing at the 3rd anti-codon position. Lineage: Eukaryota; Metazoa; Chordata; Mammalia; Carnivora; Felidae. The record is from Rfam by way of RNAcentral.
ACCUGGGUGGCUCAGUCGGUUAAGCAUCUGACUUCGGCUCAGGUCAUGAUCUCAUGGUCCGUGGGUUCGAGCCCCGCGUCAGGCU